GGGUUGUGAGGUUAAGCGACUAAGCGUACACGGUGGAUGCCCUGGCAGUCAGAGGCGAUGAAGGACGUGCUAAUCUGCGAAAAGCGCCGGCGAGGUGAUAUGAACCUUUGACCCGGCGAUGUCCGAAUGGGGAAACCCAGUGUGUUCCGACACACUAUCGUUAACUGAAUACAUAGGUUAACGAGGCGAACCGGGGGAACUGAAACAUCUAAGUACCCCGAGGAAAAGAAAUCAACCGAGAUUCCCCCAGUAGCGGCGAGCGAACGGGGAGCAGCCCGGAGUCUGAAUCAGCUUGUGUGUUAGUGGAACGGUCUGGAAAGUCCGACGGUACAGGGUGAUAGUCCCGUACACGAAAGCACACUUGCUGUGAACUCGAAGAGUAGGGCGGGACACGUGGUAUCCUGUCUGAAUAUGGGGGGACCAUCCUCCAAGGCUAAAUACUCCUGACUGACCGAUAGUGAACCAGUACCGUGAGGGAAAGGCGAAAAGAACCCCGGCGAGGGGAGUGAAAAAGAACCUGAAACCGUGUACGUACAAGCAGUGGGAGCACCUUCGUGGUGUGACUGCGUACCUUUUGUAUAAUGGGUCAGCGACUUAUAUUCUGUAGCAAGGUUAACCGUAUAGGGGAGCCGAAGGGAAACCGAGUCUUAACUGGGCGUUAAGUUGCAGGGUAUAGACCCGAAACCCGGUGAUCUAGCCAUGGGCAGGUUGAAGGUUGGGUAACACUAACUGGAGGACCGAACCGACUAAUGUUGAAAAAUUAGCGGAUGACCUGUGGCUGGGGGUGAAAGGCCAAUCAAACCGGGAGAUAGCUGGUUCUCCCCGAAAGCUAUUUAGGUAGCGCCUCGUGAACUCAUCUUCGGGGGUAGAGCACUGUUUCGGCUAGGGGGCCAUCCCGGCUUACCAACCCGAUGCAAACUACGAAUACCGAAGAAUGUUAUCACGGGAGACACACGGCGGGUGCUAACGUCCGUCGUGAAGAGGGAAACAACCCAGACCGCCAGCUAAGGUCCCAAAGUCAUGGUUAAGUGGGAAACGAUGUGGGAAGGCACAGACAGCCAGGAUGUUGGCUUAGAAGCAGCCAUCAUUUAAAGAAAGCGUAAUAGCUCACUGGUCGAGUCGGCCUGCGCGGAAGAUGUAACGGGGCUAAACCAUGCACCGAAGCUGCGGCAGCGACACUAUGUGUUGUUGGGUAGGGGAGCGUUCUGUAAGCCGUUGAAGGUGUGCUGUGAGGCAUGCUGGAGGUAUCAGAAGUGCGAAUGCUGACAUAAGUAACGAUAAAGCGGGUGAAAAGCCCGCUCGCCGGAAGACCAAGGGUUCCUGUCCAACGUUAAUCGGGGCAGGGUGAGUCGACCCCUAAGGCGAGGCCGAAAGGCGUAGUCGAUGGGAAACAGGUUAAUAUUCCUGUACUUGGUGUUACUGCGAAGGGGGGACGGAGAAGGCUAUGUCAGCCGGGCGACGGUUGUCCCGGUUUAAGCAUGUAGGCGGAGGUUCCAGGUAAAUCCGGUACCUUAUUAACGCUGAGGUGUGAUGACGAGGCACUACGGUGCUGAAGUGAUAAAUGCCCUGCUUCCAGGAAAAGCCUCUAAGCAUCAGGUAACACGAAAUCGUACCCCAAACCGACACAGGUGGUCAGGUAGAGAAUACCAAGGCGCUUGAGAGAACUCGGGUGAAGGAACUAGGCAAAAUGGUGCCGUAACUUCGGGAGAAGGCACGCUGAUGUGUAGGUGAAGUCCCUGCGGACGGAGCUGAAAUCAGUCGAAGAUACCAGCUGGCUGCAACUGUUUAUUAAAAACACAGCACUGUGCAAACACGAAAGUGGACGUAUACGGUGUGACGCCUGCCCGGUGCCGGAAGGUUAAUUGAUGGGGUUAGCUGUAAGGCGAAGCUCUUGAUCGAAGCCCCGGUAAACGGCGGCCGUAACUAUAACGGUCCUAAGGUAGCGAAAUUCCUUGUCGGGUAAGUUCCGACCUGCACGAAUGGCGUAAUGAUGGCCAGGCUGUCUCCACCCGAGACUCAGUGAAAUUGAACUCGCUGUGAAGAUGCAGUGUACCCGCGGCAAGACGGAAAGACCCCGUGAACCUUUACUAUAGCUUGACACUGAACACUGGUCCUUGAUGUGUAGGAUAGGUGGGAGGCUUUGAAGCGUGGACGCCAGUCUGCGUGGAGCCGUCCUUGAAAUACCACCCUUUAAUGGCUGGUGUUCUAACGUAGACCCGUAAUCCGGGUUGCGGACAGUGUCUGGUGGGUAGUUUGACUGGGGCGGUCUCCUCCCAAAGAGUAACGGAGGAGCACGAAGGUUGGCUAAUCCUGGUCGGACAUCAGGAGGUUAGUGCAAUGGCAUAAGCCAGCUUGACUGCGAGCGUGACGGCGCGAGCAGGUGCGAAAGCAGGUCAUAGUGAUCCGGUGGUUCUGAAUGGAAGGGCCAUCGCUCAACGGAUAAAAGGUACUCCGGGGAUAACAGGCUGAUACCGCCCAAGAGUUCAUAUCGACGGCGGUGUUUGGCACCUCGAUGUCGGCUCAUCACAUCCUGGGGCUGAAGUAGGUCCCAAGGGUAUGGCUGUUCGCCAUUUAAAGUGGUACGCGAGCUGGGUUUAGAACGUCGUGAGACAGUUCGGUCCCUAUCUGCCGUGGGCGCUGGAGAAUUGAGGGGGGCUGCUCCUAGUACGAGAGGACCGGAGUGGACGCAUCACUGGUGUUCGGGUUGUCAUGCCAAUGGCACUGCCCGGUAGCUAAAUGCGGAAGAGAUAAGUGCUGAAAGCAUCUAAGCACGAAACUUGCCCCGAGAUGAGUUCUCCCUGAGACUUUAAGUCUCCUGAAGGAACGUUAAAGACGAUGACGUUGAUAGGUCGGGUGUGUAAGCGCAGCGAUGCGUUGAGCUAACCGAUACUAAUGAACCGUGAGGCUUAACCUUACAACGCCGAAG
Molecule: ribosomal RNA, 2926 nt
Filed under: Enterobacter cloacae
Lineage: Bacteria; Pseudomonadati; Pseudomonadota; Gammaproteobacteria; Enterobacterales; Enterobacteriaceae
Also listed under: 1 other name
Description: bacterial LSU rRNA
Rfam family: Bacterial large subunit ribosomal RNA
Source: RNAcentral